AAGGUCUACCGGGUACAAGUCGGAGACAGUCACUAGCGUGUUGUCUAGACUACGGGAUAGUUUAUGUAGGAAGGGUGUGCCUAUAUGAGCUAAAUUUUCAGGAUUCAAAUACGCGACGCAUAAGGAAAACGUCGAAUUCAUGGAUUCACAGAGCGGCGUCAGGAUAACUAUUACAGUAUCGUCAAUGAACUAGUGAGUUUAUCGUGUAUAAAAUAGUAUGAUUUUUUUUAUAAAAAAAACGUGUUUCUGCUAUCAUUAUUAACAAAGCAUUGUAAAGUCCUGAUAACUUUGGCAUGAAUGAAGAUGAUAGCAAAUGUAAAUCGUCUUUGGAAGCUUAUUUGGUAGCAGAGAGAAAUCUUAGAGAAACCGUGACGAAAAAUCUGUAGCAUAUCAGGAACUGAUGCAGGAAGGUCUAAUCUGAUGGAUGGUAAAGAUGAAGAUUCUACUCGCGACACUGAGAACGAGACUACUCUCAAGAAAUUUCAACAGUGUAGCCGAACAGGCCGAAGGAACGCUCUGCCAGACAUCCGAAACCAGCAGAGUGAAGGGAGCACAGCUUCACUUUCAAACGAGUUCAGCAAGUUAUCUUGUUCCGAUAACAGCGACGACGGUACUACAGGCAAAACUGUGUCACGUGACGCUUCGAAAACCUAAUGACUUCUAACUGGUGUGUCAUGUGACGGAAGAAUGUGUUAAGACUCGCAAUUCGAACAAAGCCUUAUUCAUGUAAUCGACUGCGAGAGGCUUAGCGGCAAUACCGCUUUGCUAUUAAAUAUUGCGUUUUAAUUAACGCGAGUUUCCUUUUGUAACUAUAGAAAGGAGAAUCUCUAAGUAAUGCGAAUCGACUAAUGUCAUUGCCUCAAUAUUUUUGUUUUACACUAAAAGUAUCAUUAGGAGAAAAAACUUAAAAACGCUGUAAACAAGCCACUGAUAGUUGCCAAGUAAAUGAAUGUCCAAAAAUCUUAACAAACGGACGUUCAAAAUCUAGUAUGUGGUCAGUCUCCAACGUCGGAUGACAGAACGAAAACAACAAAACAUUUUCGAUCGACUUUCGUGAAACUUGUCUCAUUUGUUUGUAGAUUUGUAGUGUCAUGUGAGGUUGAAACUAUUUUACAAAUCUUAACAAAUUUGAUUUAAAUAUUAGUAAUACAUAAUUUUUGAUAAUCGUCAAAUGGGUAGGUUCCAUGGUUUCUCAUUGUUUUCAAAAAAGUUGUUAGAAGUAACUUAAAAACAAAAGAUAAAUAAUGAAUUAGUAUCAUUUACAUUAAUUUAAAAAAUUCUGAAGAAGCACUUAUAAAACGUACAAUAAAAAAUUAUAUGAUCUAAGUUAGAAUGUUUUUCUCUUCAAAUCCUACGACAUUUUUAUGAAGAUGCUAAUGCACUUUGCGACUAACAUUAUGGUCAAAUAUUUGUUUAUUUUACUUGUCAUGAGAAUCUGAUACAAAAUGCUUCGACUCUUUACGGUUUUCUUUAAAAUAUGUGAAAUUUUCACCAGGUUUAUACUGCAAUUUAAAUAUGUAUGUAUCCACCUGCGUAUAAUAAUGCUACGUAACUUGUCUUUAUAGUAAAUCCGUUAUAGGCGAAUUGCAUAAUGGAAAUUUUAACGUUUCAAUUUUGUAAUAUUCGACCAUAUUAAUUGUCAGUCUGGUCAUAAUUAAAUAAAAAA
RNAcentral lists this unclassified non-coding RNA (1666 nucleotides) under Limulus polyphemus (Atlantic horseshoe crab). RNAcentral describes it as "cAMP-dependent protein kinase inhibitor gamma-like, transcript variant X1". Lineage: Eukaryota; Metazoa; Arthropoda; Merostomata; Xiphosura; Limulidae. The record is from RNAcentral.